Musa acuminata AAA Group (dessert banana) is the source of this 2197-nucleotide long non-coding RNA. RefSeq lists it as uncharacterized. The record is from RefSeq and is a predicted model, not a curated record. Lineage: Eukaryota; Viridiplantae; Streptophyta; Magnoliopsida; Zingiberales; Musaceae. The transcript has 8 exons.
CAGCAAUUGGUCCUUGAGGUGCCCAUUUAGAUUAUGCUUUGUCUCGGACCUUUAAAAUCCUAUUUGGAUUAUGCAAUUAAAGAGGAUUCAAGCAGGUCGCCGCCGCCAAUGGCUCCUCUCCCGUACUCCGCCGCGCCCACCACGGAAACCGCCUCUCCGCCUGCGUCCGCCGCCAUGCCACCAACGAUGGUCGGCCGUCCGUUAGGUCGUGGUUUCGCACUUGCAUGAACUCCUUCCGCUCUUUACGAAUCUCUUGCGGUUCCCAAGACUGCACGCACUUAAGACGCUUGCAAGAAUGCCAAACCCUGUUUCUUCUGCAAUUGGUAUAUUCUUGGAACCAGGUUUAUGUGGAUUCUAGGUGCUGUUCUGAUAUCCAGUACGAGAGAAGAGAACCAGAUACGCAGGAUGAUGCUGACAUUCUCGAUUUGCUCAUGAGCGUGAGGUUAUUGCCUUCCUUGCAGACAUAGGAAGUAUGCCAAAAGAGUAACAUAGAUCGCUUUCAAGCUGUACCUGAAGUAUAGACUCAUAAAAUUCCAUUGCAAUGAAGGUGCAUCCAACCAUUCAUGUAAGAAGGUAGGUGAAUCCUGUUUCUUGCAACUCUUACGUUCUUCUAUCGAAUCAUACUUUAUCAUACGGAUGCAGUUAAACUUUCUGAUAUAUCUAGAGAUUUGUGGGAAAGAAUUUUAAUAUCUCAUGGAGGGAUAAGGACAGCAUUUGAACCUUGAGAUUGCAAAAGGACCGAGCUUUUGGUGAGCUUGCUCUAAAGCUGCUGUCUCUUGCCGAGCUGCCAGACUCCAUGGGUCGACAAAACCACCUGUGGUAUCAGAGAAACACCUCUUGGCUCCUCCAAGACUAUGUCUAUUCUUCUGGUGUUGCAUGAUUCCAUCUUGGGUGGUGAUAUACCUUGGGAUCGUUCCACCUGCACAACUGCCACGUUUCCCGUCACCAACUUCCUGACCAUUCACUAGUGACAUGCCAAGCCUCAGCUCCAAAUUGUUCAGGUAGCCACUUGCAGUUUUAUUAGCUCUGUCUUCAUGAACUUCUCUUCUCCCAUCUUUAGGAGGUGGUUCAAGUACUGUGGCCUUCAUGGUCCUUCCUCUUGCUUGGGUGAGAUGAGCUUUGUGGCUGUAAGGAAUGAUGAAAGGCAGGGUGCAAGACUGCUCUUUUUGUUGGGUGUUUGCGAGGUGAGAAAAAUGAGGUGGAAUGAUGGUGGGAGGAGGGGUUGGAUGAAAAAGGAAGGGAGCUUUGUGGGGACUCUGGUGGCUAUUGAAGUGGAGUGGUGGGAGCAAGAAUGUGAGAACUGUGAAGGGCAGGCAGGCUUUGCUUUGUGGGGCUGGAGAGAGCUACUUUAUUUUGCUUUCUGCUUCUCUACCCAUCAAAUUCCUUUAGCUAAGUGGAUAUGUUUCCCACUUUUCUACCACACUGCCGAUACAUGCAGCCUCUCUAUCACCUCACAUAACCUGUUCAAUGGGCCUUGAACAGGUACUACUUAGGUUUAUCAUUUUGUGACUAUCAUGAUGAGAUAUAUGAGGAUUGCUGCUCCAUGCAAGGAAAUGAUUAGCCAAAUACAACCUGGAAAAUUAUAAGCCAAGAUUUCCCAGCUGUAAGAUGGGAAACUUGGGACAUGAGUCUUCAGCUUAACACAAUACUAGAUGGGAAUGGGAAGAGCAUACAAGUGGAGUAGAGCCUCUUGCGAAGAAAUGGUAACCUUUUUGCUCCUUGUCAAGUGGAGUAGAGCAUACAAGUGGAGUAGUACCCCGAAUGAACAGGAGAGAGAAGCCUUUUUGCUCCUUGUCAAGAGCAACAUGGUUAUCAUCUUGGCAUGGAGAGAAGGAAGUCAUGUUUAUCUCCCUCGGAGACAACAAGAUGGCAGUGAAGAUACAGCAAGCUUGUUUUGGGAUAGUCGUAAUCAUCAAAGCAAAUCCACCAUGAGAAGCUUGUCCUGAGGUUGAGCUUGUUCUGUUCUUGUCACUUGAGAUUCCUGGUGGAGUUCCCUACACUUCUCUUUGUGGCUGUCUCUUUCCACCAAACCAACAACAGCUCAGUUCUUGACAAUCUAAUUGAGUGACAAAUCUUCCAUGGAUGAAUUAUUUUACCAAGUCAUGAGUUGAGAAUAAAUGGAAAUAGAAGACUGUAAUAUAUUGAAUGUGUUGUUAAAUAGCUUUAUGUGCAAUCAAGAGGUCUGGAUUUUGAGUUC